RNAcentral lists this ribosomal RNA (495 nucleotides) under uncultured bacterium. RNAcentral's name for it is "partial 16S ribosomal RNA". It matches the Rfam family "Bacterial small subunit ribosomal RNA", at positions 28 to 523 of the family's 1533-position model. The record is from RNAcentral.
GAUGAACGCUAGCGGGAGGCCUAACACAUGCAAGCCGAGCGGUAUUUCUUCUUCGGAAGAGAGAGAGCGGCGCACGGGUGCGUAACACGUGUGCAACCUACCUUUAUCUGGGGGAUAGCCUUUCGAAAGGAAGAUUAACACCCCAUAAUAUAUUGAAUGGCAUCAUUUGAUAUUGAAAACUCCGGUGGAUAAAGAUGGGCACGCGCAAGAUUAGAUAGUUGGUGAGGUAACGGCUCACCUAGUCAAUGAUCUUUAGGGGUCCUGAGAGGGAGAUCCCCCACACUGGUACUGAGACACGGACCAGACUCCUACGGGAGGCAGCAGUGAGGAAUAUUGGACAAUGGGUGAAAGCCUGAUCCAGCCAUCCCGCGUGAAGGAUGACGGUCCUAUGGAUUGUAAACUUCUUUUGUACAGGAAUAAACCUACUCUCGUGAGAGUAGCUGAAGGUACUGUACGAAUAAGCACCGGCUAACUCCGUGCCAGCCGCCGCCGUAA